Molecule: long non-coding RNA, 372 nt
Organism: Austrofundulus limnaeus
Lineage: Eukaryota; Metazoa; Chordata; Actinopteri; Cyprinodontiformes; Rivulidae
Exons: 3
Source: RefSeq, a predicted model, not a curated record
ACGGUUUGGACAUGUCCAGAGGAGGGACCGGAAGGAUGUUGGACAGGACACGGAAGUAGUUGGACAAGAGCGCAGACGGGCUGUGUCCAAAACGACAGGCCGCGUCUCGUCUUCACUCACCUGGAGACCACUCCCCCCAUAAAGCUCUCCUCGGGGCUACACUGCAGCAGGUGUGUGUUGCUCAACAGGUGGACACGCACCUGACAGGAGCUCCCAGCAUGAUAGCUCCACCCCUGUGCUUCACAGAGUUCUGCUGAGGUGGAAACGGACCGAAGAUGAAGGCUGGGACUAAUGAGGAGAGAGGAUGCAGCUGCGACACCUGGGAGGAAUGAACCAGAGGAGCACAGGUAAAAACAGAAAAAACACAAAUAC